RNAcentral lists this transfer RNA (73 nucleotides) under Felis catus (domestic cat). It matches the Rfam family "tRNA". Rfam says of the family: Transfer RNA (tRNA) molecules are approximately 80 nucleotides in length. Lineage: Eukaryota; Metazoa; Chordata; Mammalia; Carnivora; Felidae. The record is from Rfam by way of RNAcentral. RNAcentral also lists the same sequence under 4 other names.
GCCUGGCUGGCUCAGUCAGUACAGCAUAUAACUCUUGAUCUUAGGGUUGUGAGUUCGAGCCCCAUGUUGGGCA